RNAcentral lists this ribosomal RNA (374 nucleotides) under Clostridium rhizosphaerae. Its description in RNAcentral is "bacterial SSU rRNA". It matches the Rfam family "Bacterial small subunit ribosomal RNA", at positions 1159 to 1533 of the family's 1533-position model. The record is from RNAcentral. Lineage: Bacteria; Bacillati; Bacillota; Clostridia; Eubacteriales; Clostridiaceae.
UAACGCGGAGGAAGGUGGGGAUGACGUCAAAUCAUCAUGCCCCUUAUGUCUAGGGCUACACACGUGCUACAAUGGUCGGUACAAAAAGACGCAAAACCGUGAGGUGGAGCAAAACUGAAAAACCGAUCCCAGUUCGGAUUGUAGGCUGCAACUCGCCUACAUGAAGCCGGAGUUGCUAGUAAUCGCAAAUCAGAAUGUUGCGGUGAAUACGUUCCCGGGCCUUGUACACACCGCCCGUCACACCAUGAGAGUUGCCAACACCCGAAGUCCGUGAGCUAACCUUUUGGAGGCAGCGGCCGAAGGUGGGGGUAGCGAUUGGGGUGAAGUCGUAACAAGGUAGCCGUAGGAGAACCUGCGGCUGGAUCACCUCCUUU